Long non-coding RNA from Haliotis rubra (blacklip abalone), 4760 nucleotides. RefSeq lists it as uncharacterized. The record is from RefSeq and is a predicted model, not a curated record. Lineage: Eukaryota; Metazoa; Mollusca; Gastropoda; Lepetellida; Haliotidae. The transcript is spliced from 2 exons.
CCAUCAUCAUGCGUCUUCAUUACCAUCAUCAUCAGCACCAUUAUCUUCAUUGUCGUCAUCAUCAUCAUCAUCAUCAUCGUCAUCGUUAUCAUCAUCAAGCACAACUGCCAAUAAUAUGAUCUGUAGUGAUACCCUUGAUUGAGAUGUGCUACCUAUCUCUGUAAUCACGUCAUGAAGAUGCUCAGUUCAUGGAACAUGUUUCGAUGUCAAAGAGUAAUCACUUUUGCCUCAACUGAUGGUUAUUUAUGAAACUUGGUCAGUUGAACUAAUACUGGCAAGGGAACUUACAUACUAUUGUAAAUACAUUUUUAAUAUUUCAUGGUAUAUUUUCAUACAAAAUAUCGCAAACUAGUAAUUUUGUUUUCCACUUUCUGAAUUAUCCCCCCAUGAUCCUACACUGAAAUAUUAUGAAAUCCUUUUAUUCCCAGAAAUAAUAUGGAAUUCUUUAGUUCCCUGAAGUAAUAGGAUAUCUCUUUAUUUCCAGAAAAAUAGGGUAUCUCUUUAUUCCCCAAAAUAAUAGGGAAUCCUUUCAUACCAUGAAAUAACAAUGUGUCCUCUGUUCCCUGAAAUAAUAGGUUUUCCUUCAUUCCCUUAAAUAGUAGGGUAACCUUAUUUUCUCUGAAGUAAAAUGGUAUCCUUGUAUUCUCCGAAUUAACAUUUCCCUGGAAUAUGGUGUCAUGCGUAUGUCAUUACAUUUGUCAUGGCUCUAACUCUUCACUGAAUUAUCAGAGCCUUUUUAAAAACAUCAGCAUCUGUUCCUCAUAACAUUUGACUACUCGUGUGAUAUAUUUCUAAUUAGUCUUGGUGUUUUUCUCUCGUUUCAUGGCCAAUGUUUUUAACCGAGACAGGCAGCACUUUUUCUGAGGAAUCCGCUCCAGUGGUCAUCAUGUAGUACUCCCUAUACUCUGCCACCAAUUUUUCAAAUUCAAUUUUUUUCAAAAAGAUGCAAUUUGGGUUUAUUACAUGUGUACAUUAUUAUCAUUAUUAUUACUUAUGGUAACAUCAUAGUUUUAUCAAUUUCCAGAACAUACUCCAUAUUUCAUUUGCUGUGUGUCUCUCAACCAUUUUUAUUGUACAGGAUAAGAGCAAUCUAACAAUUCAGGACCCACACUGUCAGGUUUUGUUGCACAUGAUAUCUUUAGUUUGAUAAAUCUUGCUUAGAAUUGUUGUUUGAAGUCAAACAUUGCAAGAAUGUUAUUGAGUAAUUGUUUGUAAAGGUUAUAAAAAAAAAAAAAAAUUGUGCUUAGCCAUAAAAUUUGAAUGUGGAAAGGCUGAAAUAUUGAAACACAGCAUUGUAUUUUAAAAGCCCCCACUGAAAUGUGUCAUGUGGAAAUGUGAAAAGCCAUUGCACGUGUGAUAACAUUAAAAUGUCUUAUAUGGUAACAUUGAAGCACCAUUGGUCAGGUGGAAACUUUGAAGCACAAUAGCACAUGUGGAUAUGUUGGAAUAUGUUUGUGGAAACACUUAAGCACCAUUGUGUAUGUGGAAAUGUUGGAAUAUUUCAUGUGGAAACAUUGAAGCACCAUUGGUCAUGUGGAAACUUUGAAGCACCAUAGCGUAUGUGGGUAUACAGGAAUAUGUUUGUGGAAACAUGUAAGCACCAUUGGAAAUGUUGGAAUGUGUUAUCUGUAAACAUUGAAGCACCAUUGCAUAUGUGGAAAUAUUGAAAUAUGUGCCAUGGGAAACCAUCAUGCGGAAAUACAGAAAUGUCACAUGGAAACCUUGUUAUUUGAAAACGUCAAAAUAUGUUACCUGUAAAUGUGUGGUGUAACAGUGCAGUGUGUCGUGCAGGAUAGUGAGUGUGUCAUGUCCAUUGUUUGUACACCCAACAAUAACAGACAGGCGUCAUGAAUAGUUUGGGGAAGGUUUUGGUAGUCAGGACUGAGCACAGUUUCAUAAAAAUAUCCCUCAAAAUAUUCAUAAUUCCGAACUAUUCUUGUAUAUAAGACAUUUAUUAAAUUGUAUAUAGUCAUAUCUCCCAUGUUAAACAAUGUGACUUUUCAGAUGAGUAUGUUAUGACUAAAUUCAUUGAAGUGUGUUGUUGCUUUAUUUGUUUGCUAGUGCUCCAGUAGAGUUUGGUUUGAUCUUCACCUGCUAACAUCAUACAAACAUAGAGAUGGCAAGAAUUAACAGCUCAUACUCAUGAGUGUGGUCCAUCAUGCUUGACCACAGUGUAUGUACAUGGAAGUAUGUUGACAGGGAGGUAUGUUGACAUAUGAAGGUAUACGGACAUGGAAGUAUGUUGACAGGGAGGUAUGUUGACAUAUGAAGGUAUAUGGACAUGGAAGUAUGUUGACAGGGAGGUAUGUUGACAUAUGAAGGUAUACGGACAUGGAAGUAUGUUGACAGGGAGGUAUGUUGACAUAUGAAGGUAUAUGGACAUGGAAGUAUGUUGACAGGGAGGUAUGUUGACAUAUGAAGGUAUACGGACAUGGAAGUAUGUUGACAGGGAGGUAUGUUGACAUAUGAAGGUAUACGGACAUGGAAGUAUGUUGACAGGGAGGUAUGUUGACAUAUGAAGGUAUACGGACAUGGAAGUAUGUUGACAGGGAGGUAUGUUGACAUAUGAAGGUAUACGGACAUGGAAGUAUGUUGACAGGGAGGUAUGUUGACAUAUGAAGGUAUACGGACAUGGAAGUAUGUUGACAGGGAGGUAUGUUGACAUCCACAUAUAUGGACAUUCAAGUAUAUGGACAUAAAGGUAUAUGGACAUGGAAGUAUAUGGAUAUGAAGGUAUAUGGACAUAGAAGUAUAUGGAUAUGAAGGUAUUUGGACAUGGAGGUAUAUGGAUAUGAAGGUAUAUGAACAUAGAAGUAUAUUGACAUGGAAGUAUAUGGACAUGAAGGUAUAUGGACAUGGAAGUAUAUGGAUAUGAAGGUAUAUGGACAUGGACAUCCAAGUAUGUGGACAUGAAGGUAUAUGAAAAUGGAUGUAUAUGGACAUAAAGGUAUAUUGACAUGAAAAUAUAUGGACAUCAAGGUAUAUGGACAUGUAAUUAGCGCUUGGUCUGGAAGUCUGUUGAAGAAAUCAGUGCCAGGGUGGUUAUUUAUAGGAAAUAUGGUAUUUACAUAAAGGUAUCUGUGCAUGAAAGUAUAUUGACAUGAAGUAUUUCUUUUUCCAAAUACAGUACCUAAGCUGUAUAUCAGAGACUUGAUUAUGUGCGGCACAUUGAAAUAUAUAUGUUCAGAAAACAUUUUGAAGAAAACUAUCUUAAUUUUCUUAAUACUUUAUAUUUAUUCAUCCCAACUAACCCUAAUGGCAGGAAUUGCCUUAAACCAUGAAGCUGGUUAGCUAUUCUCGUAACGUUCAUAGCCCUAUGAACUUCUUAAGCCCAUUUUUAACACAUUGGCUACGAUCAAAGUUAAGAAUUCUUAGGGCUACGAAAGUUUCGAGAAUAAGGGCCCUCAUGAGCAAUAGUGCUGUCUGAAUUAAGAUUGAAAAAUGUUCACUGGGACUUUUUUACCUUUCUGUGAGGGGCAGGUUUGUGUGUUUUUAGUCCAUGUGAAAUACUUCCUUUAACUCAUGUUGAAAUUAAUUCAAGAGCUUUUGAUCUAAUUUUGACAAUCCAUGAAAACAUCUUUUAGAUUAUGGAAUUAGUUUGUUCCCCCUUUUGUUAGUACGUGGUUAUUCCUGUGCUGUUUUUAGCAUCACUAAUCUCAAUAUUUUUAUCUUUUCAGAGUCUGUUGAUUUUAGAACAUGGUUGCAGUGUUGUUUUUAAAAAUAGCUGGCUUACGGCAUACAAAGCCUUUUAUCUCUCAUUCAUUAGCAGUGGUGUUUCUGUGACAGAUACAGGUUCCACGUGAAUCUUCAAAACUCUUACGCUGACUUAGUUGAACCAUGUCAUCGUAUCCCAUUGGCGUAGAUCGAUGCUCAUGCUGUUGAUCACUGGAUUGUCUAGUCCAGACUCAGUUAUUUACAGACCACCGCGAUAUAGCUGGAAUAUUGCUGAGUGCGGCGGGAAACUAAACUCACUCACUCAAAACUCUUUGUAUCAGUACAGAUCAGCCUUAGUGUAAUAUGUUUAUUAGCUAUUCAUUCUGGGAUCAGCACUUUUCAAUUGGCUUUUGAGUGAGAGCAUUUCAUGUAGAAACAUGGCGAGGCUUAAUCAUUAUACUGAAUAGGAGGUACCAUUAAAUGUUCUCUUUAAAAUUUACUGUGACAUUAAGUUUAAAUGUUUGAUGUCUAGGAUAUAAUUUUUGUAAGGGACUAUCUUUUGAUAUUCUGGGUGUCUUGUUUUUUUAUGUGUAAAAAACCUUUUUCGGGUGUUACUAUGGUUACAAAAUUUAAAUUAUUUUUCAUUUAAUAACACAGAUGGACAAAAUUUCCAGGCUUCAAUGGUAAAGGAUUUGUCGGUACAAGCUAAAUAUUUUGAGAUACCACAGAAGUUGUAAGACGUAGGAAUUUAGAAGUGACAUUUAUAGUAUGUAAUAGUAGUGGACAGUGUUUCUAUUUGUUUUGUAUAUUUUGCAGCAUUUCAUACAUUUGACAUUAAUUCAAGGCAAUCAGCAUUUUUACCAUAUUGAUUUUAACAUCACUGCACACUUAAUUUAGAAUAAUUUACGUGCUUUAUGUCAGUGUCAAAAUUACUGAUUUGUGGUUUGUGCAAUGAGAUUGCAAUAUAAUGAAAUAUUUCGUUCAUUUCAGUAAUGAUACUGAUACUGACAGAACCAUUCUCUGUGUUCCUGCUUGUGUAAUGGUUCGUGGUUUGAUGUUUUGUGGUGGUUUGUGAAGUCUUGAGAUCAAUAACAACACAAAAAUAA